Molecule: ribosomal RNA, 464 nt
Filed under: uncultured bacterium
Lineage: Bacteria
Description: partial 16S ribosomal RNA
Rfam family: Bacterial small subunit ribosomal RNA
Source: RNAcentral
GACGAACGCUGGCGGCGUGCUUAACACAUGCAAGUCGAACGGAAAGGCCCUGCUUGCCGGGUACUCGAGUGGCGAACGGGUGAGUAACACGUGGGUGAUCUGCCCUGCACUUCGGGAUAAGCCUGGGAAACUGGGUCUAAUACCGGAUAGGAGCCAUUUUUAGUGUGAUGGUUGGAAAGUUUUUUCGGUGUAGGAUGAGCUCGCGGCCUAUCAGCUUGUUGGUGGGGUAAUGGCCUACCAAGGCGGCGACGGGUAGCCGGCCUGAGAGGGUGGACGGCCACAUUGGGACUGAGAUACGGCCAGACGCCUACGGGAGGCAGCAGGGGGGAAUAUUGCACAAUGGGCGCAAGCCUGAUGCAGCGACGCCGCGUGGGGGAGGACGGCCCUCGGGUUGUAAACUCCUUUCGCUAGGGACGAAGCUUUUUGUGACGGUACCUAGAGAAGAAGCACCGGCUAACUACGUG